This is a non-coding RNA of Anas platyrhynchos (mallard), 10386 nucleotides long. Lineage: Eukaryota; Metazoa; Chordata; Aves; Anseriformes; Anatidae. The record is from RefSeq and is a predicted model, not a curated record.
UGGCUGUGGGGUGGAAGAACACAGUAACUCGAAGAGAGACAGUUGUCAUUUUCCUCUGAGAUGUUGACGGACGAAAUAUGGAACUUGAUUUUGCUGCUCGCUCCUGGAAAGUGCCUGGGAAGAGCUGAGUCUGGAGCUCAUCGGAUGCUCGGUGUUUUCACAGAGGCUGGGACACGGCACUGGGGGCCAGCACAGGCUUCGUUACAAAAGGCCGAAUUCCCCAUCCUGUUGGGGAUGAGAACCGGGGAGAGCGAAGUGUGACCUGUAGAGAAUAUUGGAAAGCAACUGCAAAGCUUGAAACAUAAGGAAAAGCUUUAAAAAUAACCCAUGCGUUUGUGAUCCCAAUCUCCAGCACGAUUCCCGCUGGAGGGAAGGACAAAGCUCCCCGGGAUUGCAGACAGGACAGGAUCAGGCCCUAACCAAACGAAAGGGCUUUGUUUGCCUGUUUGUUACCAGCUAGUCUUCACCUAGGACAAAUUCAGAUAACUUUUGUUCAGGAAUCUGACGACCUAAUUUUUUUUUCCUGAUCAACUUCAUUAUGCGGCGUUCUUUCCUUGUUUUAAAGCAGGUUUGGGACGAGAGGGUUUGAAGGAGAAUUCCCAUCUGUUAUCGAAGCAUUUAAUCAUUCUUUAAAAGCCGGGGCCGUUUUAUUUUCUCUGGGGAGCGAGCAGCAUUAGCCGAAGCAUAAAGCAAACUAUACCAAGUGCAGAAAAAACUCAGCCUGAUGUCCUGUUUGACAAAGUGACCUGCAGGUCACAACCUGAGUUUAUUGAUCUGUGGGGCCUUGUCUGGGUGUCGGGCAUGUUUUCUGGACUUUGGUUUCAGCUGCAUUCCUGACUUCUGAAAGAGGAGGGGGUGUGGAUUUCUGCUAGGAGUAACCACUGGGAAGGAAGUAAUGUUCAUUAAGUGUGCAGGCUGUGCAGGACUAAGCAUGCUCAGUGAAAAAAAGCUUUUCUCCUUUGCCUGUCAAGCCCUAUGUUUGAACUCAUUCCAGAAUGCCGGAUUUACUUUUCACGAAGAAACAGUACCUGGCCGGACUGCAUUUUUCUUUCUCUCCUUAGUCACGAGAAGGCUGGAAACAAUAUUCUUCUGCAGAGCAGGGCGCUCGCAGCCGUGCAGCAUGCCCGCGUGACUCUGGCAGGAGGAGGAGGACAAACUUUGCUACCUGUGAAACGAAGACUUCGUAGGCAGCAUUGGGAAUGAAAACAAUUCCAUUUACAAUGUUGUUCACAGGCUCCGUAAAUGAGUGACUUGGUGACUUCAGUGGGAAUUCCUCAUAAACAAGAAGGGAAAAAGGUCAUCUGGAUUCUUCUGAAGGCAGGAGCCAGGGCCAGAAAUCCCCUGAAAGACCUAUGCAAGAAGAGAAUCUCACCUGCUGCCUCGUCUCCAGAGACCCUGGCCUACACUGAGGUUCAGCUAAAGGUUGGUGACUGAGAGAGAAGGAACAAACCUGAGUGUUUUACAGCAGCCCAGCUGAACAAAUGGAUCAACCAAUACUGGUGAGGUUCCCUCUGUGAACUGGACAAUGGAAGUUGCCAACCCCAAUUCACGGUCGCUCUUCCUACUGGCAAACAUCCUAAGGAGGAGCUGUUUUUAGCUUGUGCCUGCUGAGAGUUGGAGGUGAAGAAGUGCACACCCACCCUUUGUGCCAUUCUUGCUGAGGACUUGUACAACGUGGCCAUUCCGGGCUGAACGUAUUUCCAGAUCUCCUUUUGGCAGCUGGAUAAGAAGGGAAUGCCACCACAAAGGAGGGAUCGUCGAGGCAAGGUUGAAGUCAUGCUCAACGGCAGCAGCAGUGCUGUGCAUCGCACAUGUCACCGCCGUGAUCGGUGAACUUCUCCCCCAGAGGGACUCUCAGACCUCUAACUGCAUUUGGGGAAAUCAAGACCUGAGCAGAUCCUUUUUUUAUUUCCACUCAUUUUCAGGGUGGUUCUUCCCAAACAAUGCUAAGCAGUCAGAAUACUUUCCUUGAAGAGUUGGGCCUAGCAAUAUGGCAGCGCCCGUUCGAUAAGAAAUCUUGUAAAGUGCUGCUACUGAGGACCACGUGCUCCCCGACCCAUUGCCUUGACUGCUGCACACAUUGCAGGGCUAGACCUUUCCGAAAGCCGGGUGCUCCCAAAUUGCAUUUAGGGUCCUACGUAAAAGUUUUGCUGGUUUUACAAAGAUGCUCCACGCCUGCAGCUUCUGCUCUUGGUAGGAAUUUCGGGCACUGAAAACUUUGGAAAAGCUGGAUACUUUAAAGUCACUGUCUAUAAAAUAGAGGUCCUUGUUCCGCAGAAGGAGUUUUGUGAAGACAGAGGUACUGAUCAUAUCUGAAUUGUUCAGCUUGCCGUGUUCUGUCUCAUACUGGAGUUGUAAGUGAGCACACCGAAUAUCCACAUUAAAACACGUUUCAUGUGGGCUACCACCAUGCUGACGGAUACAUUCAUUAGCUGUAGAGUUAAGAUUGACAAUAUUUAUAAUCUAAUAGUACUCUUAGAAGAGCACAAUCAACUAGAAAAGGUUAUCAUCACACUUUAAAAAUCCUAUUUAAAGAACGUCAUUUAUUACCGUAACUUAAAUAACAUCAUAUGCAGAUUGUUCCAUUUGUUUUCCUCGUUUUCUCUGUCGUAAAAACGUUGCACUGUCUCUUUGUGUUACAAAAACGACUAAAUUUAAACUUCGGGUGUAAUAGAGCCUGCGCUGCAAUGUGAAGUGAUGCAGAAGCACAGACUGGCACCAGGAGCGGGCAGACUGGCUGCUGCGCCUGCGUCCCGCGGCUAUUUCUGGCGUGCAGAGGCUGAGCGGUGUCUGCCGGGCCAAACGGCAGCCGAUGAGGAUAACGAGAGUAAUCUGGACAUAGCAGCUGUCUUCUGAGGACCUCAGAACUCUCUGUGGACACGCUUCUCUCUGCAAAAUUCCUCUUGCUCCAUUUCUAUGAGAACUAUUCCUGCAAACUGGGUCCCUAAGAGGAUUAGCGAAGGGGAUACCAAUUUAUUUAUACCCACCUCAGCAUGGUAGCAGCCAAACACUGUAAGUUGCUGGGUUAUUAAAUGGCCUGUAGCACAUGAAAGAAGCUUCAAUCUUCUGGGGCAGUUCAGAGUGGACAGGUGUCCACCUCACAGCUGCUCCAAACUGAUCCCCAGUUUUGGCAAUAUAUAUAUAUUUUUCUUUUUAACCUGUUCACAUUGGUGAUAUGAACAGGAGUGCUCAGGACUAAAUGGACCACAGGCAUUUGGUCCCUUUUAAAAUACAAGAACAAUUUUCAGGCCUCUUUCCGUUGAACUUUUUUUAACUGAUAAAAAAUAAAAGAACAAAAGAGAGAUACGGGGAGUUAGGGAAAUCCCUCAGACUUUCUCUGUUUAAAUUCCAAAUUCCUGGCAGUCACAGUGUCAGGUGAUGUUGCUGUUUGGGUUUGCUUCUAUAGUGCCUGGCUUGCACAGUCCCAAGCUGAGUUAAAUACGUGGCUAUGAUCAAAAGAGGAUGACGCCUCCAUUUCUUUGUGCCAGCCUGGAGGCCCUUAGGUGUUGGAGUCUAAGCCUUUGAAAAACAAGGUUGCUGGACUCCAGUAAAUAAAGUGUCCGGAUGCUAGUGAUGAUUCAUAAAAGCAAUUAAAAAAGGAAAGUGCUUCGCUGCUAAGCGUAAUGUCUUGGUUUGAAGAUGUCCUUAAGUGUGUGUAAUGAUGCAAAUAGUGGUCAGUGGAUAGUGACUGCUGUGUUUGAGAUUACGAAUCUGUUUCCAACAUAACUCCUGUCUUCACGUGGUCCUAAUGAUCAAAGCCACUUUUUUUUUUUUUUUUGGUAGCUGAAUCUUCUUUAUUUAGUCUGUAUUUCGAAAUAGAUAGUUCCCAUCCCUUCUUAAAUUUGUGAAAAGAGAAAAAAAAACACAACUCCAAUACUAAUACUAAUCCCAAUACUAAAUGAAGAUUUAGUAUUUUCGAUGUGAGAAAUGUGUUUUUUGAAAUUUAGACACUAGAGAUGGCAAAUGUUUGAAAUUUAUCCAACACGAUUUGGUUGGGGUUUUUUGUAUUGUUUUUAUUUUCAAUGCUACCUUCUUGCAUUACGGCCUUGACCUUCCACAGGCACAAAGCACCUCACUUGUACAGCUUUCAAAGUGAUUUGUAAUUAGCAAGGCUGAACUCUGCUAAGCCACAACUAGGGUUCUUGUUGCAUACAGAGAUCCCCCAGCAUGGCCACAUUGCCAAGCGAGACGUAGACCCCGAGGCAUAUUCUACAAGCUUCUCAAGUCAGCUCAACCAACUGUUAGCUCUUAGUCAUGGCUCUGGGGCUGCUGUUCUAGAGCAGAUGCUUCCAGUCGUAGCCAACUUCUCCAAGUGGAUGCCUCUGGCUUCUCUCGAGGUCUGUGUAUAGUCCGAAGCUGGGGCUUGGCUUUGCUUUGCCCUCACAUACUGCCCUUGAUUAGACCAGCCAUAUAUGCUAAGGGAAGCAAAAUAGUUUACUGAUUUAUCAUGGAUCAUUAGAUGGAGUAACUCUUCUUAAAACAUCACCAGUAUGGAUACAAUAAUUAGAGAUGUGCUUUUGUUAACAUUGCCAGCCUCUACCCUCUUGUACAGUACCCUUGGGUACUAAAUAAUUACCCACUUUGUGUGGUUAUCUAGCUCACUAAUUACCCACAAAAAUUGGGGUCAGGUGUUAACUGCUUGAAAUAAGUAUCCUCCAAAGACUUGGUUAAAUUGUGUAAAGAAAUUAUGUGUUUGCAGCAAAACUUUAAAAAAAAAAAUCAAACAUUUUUUGUUAUUGUUGUUGGAAGGAAGAUAGGGGAACGUGAAAAAGACAAUGGGUGUAAAUAAUUCUCUGUGAUGGCAAAAUCUUACCUACUGCUAUGAUGCUGAGGAUGGUAUCUGUACGGGUAGUGAAAGGAUGGUGGCAGAUACAGUCUCUCUAAUCCAGUCUACUUUUCCCAAAGAUUAGAUCCUUCAGUACACAGGGUUUGAUUCUUCCCCUAUCUAGGCUGAUGUCAAUCAGGAUUGUGUCGGUAUAAAUGAGAAAAUUUGUAUGCAUGGAUUCCUGGACUGUCUUUACUGCAUAAUUCCACCUCCUCUAUCACCCAGGGACUUCUGCAUUGCACCCAAUAAUUGAAUUAUGUAUUGUAUACGUAUUUCCAUAUGUUUAUUUUACUCGUUUCAAACUCUGUAUGCAUGCAGAAUUUCAUUCUAAGGCUGCUGCUCAUAAAAUGUAGCCUGCUUUGAGUAAUAAUUUAAUUCCUGUGUUCAGGGAGUUACCCCAGUGAGUCAAAGAUUUCUAGAUAGCCCCACCCUCCCCAACUUCCCGAACACUUACACUGCAGUCACUUUCUCUUUGCCAGACCCACACAAGACGCUGAACUAGCCAAAAUCCCAAGAGGCAGCUUCCCCUGCCUCCCCCAUUGUAGCCCCAGAGAAGUAGGAAGCAAAGCCACAAAAACCCCGAAACCAAAGCCCUUGAAAAUACCUGGCAAGGCACAGAGGCACGUUUAACAGCCCGCCUCCCUAACCUGGUGCCUCGCAUAGGUGCUGGCUGUCCGCAGUACAAAGGAUUUCAGUGGGAACUAAGGGAGGUGCUUCGGAAAAUCUCCCUGUGCACCCUCAGGAGCCGUGGAUAUCCAGCUGCAUUCACCGCUGCAGUCCUAAAAGCACCUGUGCAGUGCCCGGCGUAACAAAGAGACUGCCCUAUUGAUUUAGUGCUAGGUGCUUUAUGGCGAGCAGCACCUCCUGCUCCCACCAGCAGCCUGUACAGGGGCAGGUCUAGGGCACUGGUGGCGUGUUUCCCCCCCCAGCCCCAUAGAUCUGGUGGAUGUGGGGUGGCAGGUGAGGCCCCACAUGGCAAGGUGGGGGUCUUGUGGGGUGUACCUGCACUCCGCAUUGUGCAGCUCUGCAGGCACCAGCCUCCAAAAGCACAAUGCAGAUUUAGUCGUCAGCCCCUCUCCCCCCCCCCAGCUCCCCGCUGAUGUUAACUGUCUGUAUUAUUAUUUAUCGUUAUCAGGGGAUUUGGUUUGAUCAAUGAAGUGUAUAUGCGUCUGACGGACAUUGGGAGAGGAAAUGCUUGGAGAAUGAGUAACAUGUCUGCAGCGGAGGGUGUGUGUGUGUGUGAGGGAGAGAGAGAGGGAGAGCAUCGGUCCUAGGAGCAGUGACUGAUGAGUUCAUUUCAAAAUCCAAGGGCAUAUAGCUGGUAAAUUAGCACAUCUUGCAAAUAUAGUCCGGGCUGCGAGGCAGCAGCGGGGCUGCCAUUGAGCGGAGGGCUGGCUUGUGGGGAGGGCUCGGGGGGGUGUGUGUGUGUCGGGGGGGGGUGGGGGGGGUCGAGGAGAGGAGCUUGGCAGCUCGAAAGUCAUCGCGGGCAUGAGGCAGGCAGCCUGCUGCCUCCCUGCGAUUUCCACGGGCGGCUGCGGGCUGCAGCGUGCCGGGGGGGGGCGGCGGGGGGGAAGCCGACAGAGCAGCAGCAGCGGCGGAUUUUAUUGUUUUAAAAUCCAGAUCCAGCCAGAGGGAUGCCAGGCGAAGGGCUGCGGUCCCCCUAUUCCCCCCCUUAUCCCUUCCAUCCCUCCCCCCUUCCUUUUUUUUUUUUUUUUUUUUUUGCCUCCCCCCGCCCCCCCCUUCAAGCACCCCCGCAGGAUGGCGGCGUGGGGCAGCAGUCGGCUGCCGGAGGGGUCCCGGGGGCUGUGGGGUUUCUCCUUGGGGGGCUUUGGGGUUUCUCCCGGGGGCUGUGGGGUUUCUCCCGGGAGCUUAAGGGAUUAUUGGGGAGGGGGGAGCCGGGCUGGUGUGUGUGCGAGGCUGGCGGCGGCGGCGGGGGGAGCCGGGUCCUUAUUCUGUUAAAGAUUUAAGUAGGCAUGCAAGGAAUCUCUAGGAUAGUUGGCAAAGGGCGAGGGUGGGGAGGGGGGGGGGGAAGGAUCCAAAAGAGUCUGUAACCAGACACUGAAGCUUUCCAGGAGUGAGAGUGUGUGAGAGAGACGGAGACAGAGCGAGAGGAAGAGAGGGGGCAGUGUGGUCUAGUACAUUUUCAUCUGGUCGUUGAUUUGAGCCUGAUGCUUGCUGUCCCUCAACAGCCUCCCUUGCCUGGAUUUUUUCUUUCCCCCUCUCCUCUCCUUUCCCUUCUACUUCAUCGAAGCCUAGGGGAGCCAGUAAAGAUUAAAUGUGCUUUCUAAAAGGCAGCCACUUCAUGCAGCUAUGUCUACUCCCCCCCUCCCCACCAGCCGUCCCCCCCCCCCCCCGCCUUUACUCCCCCCCUUUUUGAAAUUAAAAAAAAAAAAAAAAAAAAAAAAAGGAGCGAGGGGGAGACAGAGAGGGGGAGAAGGAAGGAGGAGGAAGAGGAGGACUGUAGUUUAAUGAUGUCGGGACUGGCUGAUCCAGAAGGAGGAAAAAAAAAAAAAAAAAGGAGGAAAAAAAAAAAAAAAAGGCAAAGAUUUGAGAUCCUGGACGAGGAAGGACUUUGGUGAAUGGGCUCAGACUCCUGAGGUGAGAAAAGGACGGAGGGAGUGCCGCCGGGUCGGUGAUGGGGCCCGUGACCGCUGUGCGGGGCCGUGCGGGGCCGGGCCGGGGGGGGGCCGCUUUGGGCAGCGCCGGGCGCGGAGCGGCGGAAAUUUGGGAUUUUUUUACCCCCCCCUCCGGCACCUUCGGGCUUCCCCCCGGUUCUGCCGCUGGGCCCUGAAGCAGCUCCAGAGAUGGGUGGAGGGUGCAGCUCCAUAUUAUUUAUUUGGGGGGGGGGGGAGGAAAGGGGGGGGGGGGGAAAGAGAGGGAGGGGAGGGAGGGAGGGAAAGGGGGAGAAGAGCGGGGAAGGAGGUGGCGAGCUGGGGACGAAAUCCUGCUCUCGGUUAUGGCCGGCGUAAAUUUCCAUUGGCUGGGGUUGCACAAGGUGCUCGGAGAGGAGUCGGUGCAGGAUGGAGACCCUUUUGUGUGUGUGUGCGGGGUGGGGGGGUGGGGGGGGUGCGGGUGUGCGCGGGGCUCGGGGACCCUCCUCUCCCCGGGAAAAAAAAAAAAAAAAAAAAAGGAAAAAAAAAAAAUGGGUUUUUCUCCAGGUUUGCCUUCGAAAAAAGCCCGGCCCGCGGCUGGCAAGGGAGAGGGCGGCCGGGGCUGACAGCCUGGGGCUUGCUCUGGCUCCCGGCUGGCCCCAGCUGAUGCAGGGGCUGGGAGCCGGGCCGCAGCUCGCAGCCCCCCCAGCCCCCCCCGCUUUAAUAACGCCGCUGAUAAUUAUAAUUAUAAUAACAACGGCGGCGGCGGUGGGAGCGCGGAGGGAGGAGGGCGGCAGGCGAGGUGCUGCGGAGGAAUUCGGUUCCUUUUCCUUUUUCCCCCCUUUUCUUUUCCUUGAUAUAUUCCCUUUUUUUUUUUUUUUUUUUUUCUCCCCUUAAAAAAAAAAAAAAAAAAAAAAAAAAGAUGUUUUAAAAAUGCAAGCGGCUUGCCCAGCUGCACACACCCACCCCUCGCCUCCCUCCCCCGGCUUGCGCACACCGCACGCUCGCACUCGCUCGCUCGCCCGCGCUCGCUCGGGUGUCAAAACCCGGCGGGCACCCAGCCUGGUCCCGGCUCUGCCCUCCCUUACCCCUGCCCUUACCCCUGCCCCUUGCCCCUGCCCCUGCCCGCCCGGGGGCCCGCCCGCCCCCCGCCGCCGGGGCUUUUCCCCCCCAGCUCUCGGCGCUGAAGAACUGGAGCCUCCCCCGCUUCCAAGUGGACUAGCAGAUGGGGUUAAUUAACAUCACCGUCAUCAUCAUCUGCUGCUGCUGCUGAGACCCCGGCGUGCUUGGAGCCAGCACCCAGGGCAAGAGGUGUCCGAGCCUGUUCCUGAAGGUGCUGAGCAAGCUGCGUCUGGCUCCUGAGCAGCAGCGAGGGCUUUGGACUGCCUUCCCCACCUUGUUUCUGGCCGUCGCGGUGCGUCCCUCUUGCUCUGGUCCCCUUGCCGUGUCACCUGCAGCGGUGACAGGCAGCACCAGCCUCACGCCACGCUGCCCUUCACCUCCACACGAGGCUGCUUCGGGGCUGGGGCAGCGCAGGGAGCUUUGGGGCAGGAGCCAAGGUGCAGCAUAUGGCUGAGCGACCUGCCAAGCGCACGGGAGCAGGAUGCGCCCCAGAUAAGGGUCCCCUGCUGUGCCGGUGGCUCGCUCCAAGCACUGUCCCCUUGCUGGUGUCCCUCCUUUACAGGCUGCUUGUCUGAUUUUCCUCUGGCAUUAGAGGAGCACCAGAGACACGGGAGAGAUGGGGCUCGUGUGGUGCUUGUGAUGAAGCAGGAGCAUCGUUGUACGAGGCUUUUUUUUUUCUUCUGUGUUUGUUUCUUCUGCAGUUACCUUCCUCCUUUCUUUUCUAAAGUAGACCAUGAUUUAAGGCACUGCAAGGCCUGGGAGAGGGGCUGCAUCCCAAACCACUCAAAAGUGUUUUUUUGGGCUAAUAAACUCAGUGAUGUCCGGUAUCAAAGCUUUAACAUUUUCACGUUCUACCCCAAAGCAGCAAAAGGGCAAAUUUUGGUAUUCAACCUGCGCAUGAUACUGCUGGUGAGAGCAACUCAAUUCUCCAGGCAAAUCCUUUCUGAAAGCUUAAAGCAACAAGAAAUCACCCAACGGAGGCCAACUUUGAUGUGCAGCUCCCACUGCUUCCCCUCUGUCCUGUUCUGGGUGUCACUGGGCUUACCACAGCCUCCCAAAUUCGCUGUAUGUCUCAAGGCUGCUCAUGCCCGAGACAUGCAGGAGGGCUGGAUGGCAGGUGGGGGGAGGCUGGGGGCAAAAAGCCUCUUACUGAAGAUGAGAGGCAAAUUAUAAUGUUUUUCUUUCUGAAAUAGGGUCGCAACAUUUUUAUUUAUUUAUAUAUUUUUAAAGCAGCCAAAUGUUGAGGCAAGAGGAGGCGAAGCAGGUUUUCAAGGAGGGGUAGGAAUUGCUCAAGGUGGGGGUAGAAGUUGCUUUCCUGGCCUGAAAAUCAGGGAGCAGGGCUUUAGGAGCAGCACAGGCACUGUCCGUGCCCCUCUGGAGCCUGGCCUGCCCCCUGGCUGGCUCUUGCCUAUUCUAGAAGUAGGAAGAAGGGGAAAUUAUAGGGUCUGGGGAAGGUUAAGUGCUAGCUAAGGAGGCAAACAGAUGUGGCUGAGGACAGGGAGCCUCACCUGCAGCGUGCCUCAUCUGUGCCCCCCAGGGCAGUCUUUUGGGGCUGUGGUGGGACACGGGCAGCGUAAGCAAGGAGGGUCAAAUGAGGCAACAUCAUUUAGUCUGACGUAUGGAGAUUUAAAAACAACAAGAAAGAGGAUGGGCUGUUUCAGCCCGAAGCCUCCCGUGGCAGGCAGCCUGGGUGUAAUUCCUUCACAUCCCUCAAGUGAUGGAAAAAGGGGGAGGGGGGCUGUGGUCCCAGUUGCAAAACUUGCCAAGGAGCUGAGCCCCGAGCAGGGGCGCUUCCAGCAGCAGCAAUUCCGUGCUGUGCUGAGGAGCAGCUCCUCUCCUCCUCUUUUA